CCAAGUUUGUUUGUUUUUAAACUUGACUUCUGUCCUAAGAUCCUUUUCAUGAACUUUUACCCUGAUUCACACAAUCAUCGGAGCGAGGCGGGGAAACCCUUUGCUGGUGUUGAAACACAGCCAGUCUCCUUCCCUUCAGAAGGUACAAAAAAAACCAGAAGGUCAUAAGGACACUCAUUAUAGGACAAAUACUCUCAUUACAGAGGAGCCUGGCAGCAAUUUCCUGGCUACUGUGAAAAUGCUGAAAGCAAGACCAGCAAAGGCGAGUCUGAUAAGUUAUUCUGCUUGACAUCUGGGCUAAAGAAUUCACCAUAUAAGUAACCUAACUGAUAAGAGAUGAGGCAAUGUGAUCCUACCAGCAUCUGGUGCAAUGAAGAAGGCUCUUUUGAAGCCACCUCCUGAAGAGGUGCGCAUAUACUAAUUCAAACUGGAUUCUCCAAGGACCACCAGACAGAGAAAGGAUUUGUGGAUAAACACCCUGAGUUUAAACUGACUCUGGGCAGCCUUUCUGAUCCAGCAAACAGACAGGACUUCUGGUCCAAGGUGGACCCAAUCCUUGCCUUCCACUCAAGAGUGCAACAUCAAAUAUAACAAUGAGAUGGCAAACCGAACUGUUUCACACUAUACAUGCUACUAGGUAUGACAAAAGUAAAACCCACAUUUUCUUGUUAUCACCAACACAGCUGAUGGAGAGAAGUCAAGGAAAGACAAGGGAGAACAGUAAAAAUGUGAAUACCACCCCCAUGAUCACAAAAUGUUGGGAGAAGAAAAAAUAGACAGCUCUUGACGCAAAAACUUUAUUAAAAGAUCCUUUAAGCAUUCA
Trachemys scripta elegans is the source of this 823-nucleotide long non-coding RNA. RefSeq lists it as uncharacterized. Lineage: Eukaryota; Metazoa; Chordata; Testudines; Emydidae. The record is from RefSeq and is a predicted model, not a curated record. The transcript has 2 exons.